AGAGUUUGAUCCUGGCUCAGGAUGAACGCUAGCGGGAGGCCUAACACAUGCAAGCCGAGCGGUAUUUGUCUUUCGGGACAGAGAGAGCGGCGUACGGGUGCGUAACACGUGUGCAACCUACCUUUAUCUGGGAGAUAGCCUUUCGAAAGGAAGAUUAAUAUCCCAUAAUAUAUUGACUGGCAUCAGUUGAUAUUGAAAGCUCCGGCGGAUAGAGAUGGGCACGCGCAAGAUUAGAUAGUUGGUGAGGUAACGGCUCACCAAGUCUGUGAUCUUUAGGGGUCCUGAGAGGGAGAUCCCCCACACUGGUACUGAGACACGGACCAGACUCCUACGGGAGGCAGCAGUGAGGAAUAUUGGACAAUGGGUGAAAGCCUGAUCCAGCCAUCCCGCGUGAAGGAUGACGGUCCUAUGGAUUGUAAACUUCUUUUGUACAGGGAUAAACCUACCCUCGUGAGGGUAGCUGAAGGUACUGUACGAAUAAGCACCGGCUAACUCCGUGCCAGCAGCCGCGGUAAUACGGAGGGUGCAAGCGUUAUCCGGAUUUAUUGGGUUUAAAGGGUCCGUAGGCGGACCUGUAAGUCAGUGGUGAAAUCUCAUAGCUUAACUAUGAAACUGCCAUUGAUACUGCAGGUCUUGAGUAAAUUUGAAGUGGCUGGAAUAAGUAGUGUAGCGGUGAAAUGCAUAGAUAUUACUUAGAACACCAAUUGCGAAGGCAGGUCACUAAGAUUUAACUGACGCUGAUGGACGAAAGCGUGGGUAGCGAACAGGAUUAGAUACCCUGGUAGUCCACGCCGUAAACG
This 800-nucleotide ribosomal RNA is filed under the name uncultured bacterium. RNAcentral describes it as "bacterial SSU rRNA". It matches the Rfam family "Bacterial small subunit ribosomal RNA", at positions 8 to 808 of the family's 1533-position model. The record is from RNAcentral.